This is an RNA transcript of Oncorhynchus tshawytscha (Chinook salmon), 1971 nucleotides long. It is a transcript of the gene named PRELI domain-containing protein 1, mitochondrial, with no coding region annotated. The record is from RefSeq and is a predicted model, not a curated record. The transcript has 2 exons. NCBI's taxonomy places the organism in Eukaryota, Metazoa, Chordata, Actinopteri, Salmoniformes, Salmonidae.
ACAACACCAACUAGUGCUGCGUAAUAGCUAAGAAACAGAGCUGAAGGCAUAACAUGCCUGGUUGAAAAGUGUGUUAAUUAGACACUCAAUGCCAUUUGAGUGAUCGACAGAUUGCAUGCGCCCGACAUAUCCCAUCUUGUGAGUGGGUUAGGGUUAGACUCUGGAAUACAGUGUUACAAGAGGACUGUGAGGAGUGUACCGUCUCGAAGUGAGCGAACUCAGUGACGUGGAGGGCUGGACACCAUGAGGGUCGACGACAUGAACCCCCGCACAGGGAUGGUGGUGGCCAUCAGCAGCCCCUUACUGUUCUUCGGCUUCAUGUUCACCAUGUCAGGCAUGAAGGGAGAGACCCUGGGUGGGAUCCCUCUCAUCGCCAUUGGACCUGCCAUCUGCCUCCCAGGGGUGGUGGCUAUCAUUCUGGCUAACAGAACCAACGGCUGCACCAAGUUCCCCACCUGGCGCCAAUGUCUCAACUGCCUCUGUCGCAUGUGUAGGAAGAGGAAGCAGAUGCCUAGAACCAAAGAGUCUUCCAGGGUGGCCAGAGACUCAGAGGAGCCUGAUGGGGACAAGAGGACUGAGACUGGGUAUAGAUCUGGGGCUGGAGCAGACUCUGUAUCCAUUACCAUUACAACAGUGAAGGAGUCUGGUCAUAUGAUCAAUAAAGUGAACCACAACCAUGAUGAGGUGCGACGCUACCCAGCUAGUGCCUUGAUGGCCAAGGCAGGUGUCUCUAACUACAGUAUCUAUGAUAGUAAGUCCUACGCUAUGGACAGUCACUGGGGGGCCUAUAGUAGUAAGGUGCAUCGUGUGCCUCAGCAGCAACGGGACAGUUUUGUGGUGUACUACGAGGGAGACUUCUCUCCGUACGGACCCGGUUACUGCUACACCAAACUCAGAGAUUUAAUGUGGGGCGUAGAGACUGUGGUCUAAGUGUGGAUACUGAAGCCUACUGGGGAAACCCUAUUACUGGAAUUUGUAAACUACUACAUCUAUUUAGGUGUACCUGGGACAUGAAUAGUAAGCCUGUUUAUCUUACAGAUAAAUGCAGUACUAAUGUUGAAGCAGGUAACAUAAGAAAGACAUUUGCAGUAUUUGUUUCAUGAAUGAAUUGUAUGUUCCCUAUUUAUUUUGGAUUUUUAUUUCAUAUUGUAUAAAUAUCUAAUCUAAAUGGGCAUUAAGAUAUGUCUCUAAAUUGACAUUUACAUUUGCACUAAAUUAUAUAUUUUUGUCUUAAUGAUCAAGUAUCUAUUGCAUAUCUUAUUCAGCAAAAUCCAUUUAAUGCAUUGGUGUGUUUGUGGUAUAGUUACUAAAUAAAGAAAUGAUGAAACGUUUUUGUGAUUACAUCUGCCCAGAUGAUGCACAAAUGGACGUGAAUCAUGCAAAUAGUUCAAUCUGCACAGUACAAACCUGUUACAGAGACCACUAGAAGGGGAUAUACCACUGCCAAUGUACUGUAGAGGCUACUAAAAACAAAUUAUUAACAGUUUGGAUGUGAAUUAUUACCUUACAUUAUUUCAAAAUGUAAACAUCUCCAAGAACAGACAAAUAACGAAAGAUAUUCCUGUUUAAAAAAAGUAUACAUCAUGACAAUGUAUCUUCAUCGGCGUGGUUUUCACAAAUGAAGUCCAAUAGAAGAAGAGAGUUGUAGUCCUGUCAUGAAUAUUCAUGAUUAAAGCGGUGCAUUGUUGGAUACUACACAUGCCACUUUUGGACUAGGCAACUUCCGAUUCAAUGACGACUGCUGUUACGCUACUAUCAAAAUAGGGAACAUGACGGAGGAAAUCUAACUAUUGGUGCACUGAAAAUCCCCAUAAAUGCUGCGAUAGUAUAUCAGGGUUCAGUGUGUGCGUCAGGUGUGGAUGGAGUCAGUAACAUCAGAGCACCCAGCAUAGUUAUCACAGACAGGACAAUCCGAAGAAGUCCGUGUUCAGACCAACAGCCUGCACAUCGGCAGGCAGGGGGAGAAUGGUC